Molecule: ribosomal RNA, 259 nt
Filed under: uncultured archaeon
Lineage: Archaea
Description: partial 16S ribosomal RNA
Rfam family: Archaeal small subunit ribosomal RNA
Source: RNAcentral
AGGGUGUAAACGCUGCAGACUUGGUGUUGGAAAUCCUUCGAGGGUAUUCAGUGCCGGAGAGAAGUUGUUAAGUCUGCUACUUGGGGAGUACGUCCGCAAGGAUGAAACUUAAGGAAUUGGCGGGGGAGCACCGCAACGGGAGGAGCGUGCGGUUUAAUUGGAUUCAACACCGUAAACUCACCAGGGAAGACUGUUACAUGAAGGCCGAGAUGAAGACUCUGCUAGAUUUUCAGAGAGGUGGUGCAUGGCGUCAGUGACU